UCAGAAGCCACUUCACCUGUUGGUAGAACGUAGGGAGGUGGAACCAGUGCAUUGCUUGAGCUACGGUGACCAAAUCGAAAGUGGAUUCUGAUCCAAUCUUCUCUUGGAGCUCAUCCAUGGACAUGCCUGGGGAAGUGCAUUGGAAAAGGAGACAGAGAGAGAGAGAGGACUAACUGAGCAGGCUGCUUGGCCAGUGCCGGUGCCGGCAUCCCAUGCUAGUUCAUGAGAGGGGGUAUUGGAAGCAAUGAAAUGAAAGAGUUCUUCUGGGUAAUUAGGCCUUCCCCCAGAAUACUGUUUUGACUGAUAACUAGGAUUAUACCCAGAGUUCUGCUUGAUCAACAAAUCUGCCAUACUCUCUGUGUGUGUUUGUGAUAAUUGGAAGAGUGAGAUUAAUGUCAAGCAUGUGUGUUAGAUAAUAUAGUAGUAGUAGUGGGUGCAAUGUCAUUGUUCAUUGCUGGGGAAGGUUCAUCUAGUGUAGUUGGUCAAAGUAGAGAAACAAGAUUUGUCUUCUGCUUUCUUUAUAGCCACACACCAAUAAGUCCACUACAAUCUUUGACCAA
Molecule: non-coding RNA, 560 nt
Organism: Salvia hispanica
Lineage: Eukaryota; Viridiplantae; Streptophyta; Magnoliopsida; Lamiales; Lamiaceae
Source: RefSeq, a predicted model, not a curated record